CAAUACAUUCAGUGGCGAACGGGUGAGUAACGCGUGGAUAAUCUACCUACGAGAUGGGGAUAACUAUUAGAAAUAGUAGCUAAUACCGAAUAAAGUCAAUUGAGAUGUUAAUUGAUGAAAGGAAGCCUUUAAAGCUUCGCUUGUAGAUGAGUCUGCGUCUUAUUAGCUAGUUGGUAGGGUAAGAGCCUACCAAGGCUAUGAUAAGUAACCGGCCUGAGAGGGUGAUCGGUCACACUGGAACUGAGAUACGGUCCAGACUCCUACGGGAGGCAGCAGCUAAGAAUCUUCCGCAAUGGGCGAAAGCCUGACGGAGCGACACUGCGUGAACGAAGAAGGUCGAAAGAUUGUAAAGUUCUUUUAUAAAUGAGGAAUAAGCUUUGUAGGAAAUGGCAAAGUGAUGACGUUAGUUUAUGAAUAAGCCCCGGCUAAUUACGUGCCAGCAGCCGCGGUAAUACGUAAGGGGCGAGCGUUGUUCGGGAUCAUUGGGCGUAAAGGGUGAGUAGGCGGAUAUGUAAGUCUAUGUGUAAAAUACCACAGCUCAACUGUGGAACUAUGCUAGAAACUGCAUGACUAGAGUCUGAUAGGGGAAGUUAGAAUUCCUGGUGUAAGGGUGGAAUCUGUUGAUUCRAAAAA
This 633-nucleotide ribosomal RNA is filed under the name uncultured Borrelia sp. Its description in RNAcentral is "bacterial SSU rRNA". It matches the Rfam family "Bacterial small subunit ribosomal RNA", at positions 84 to 703 of the family's 1533-position model. The record is from RNAcentral. Lineage: Bacteria; Pseudomonadati; Spirochaetota; Spirochaetia; Spirochaetales; Borreliaceae.